Molecule: ribosomal RNA, 459 nt
Filed under: uncultured bacterium
Lineage: Bacteria
Description: partial 16S ribosomal RNA
Rfam family: Bacterial small subunit ribosomal RNA
Source: RNAcentral
CCUACGGGUGGCAGCAGUGAGGAAUAUUGGUCAAUGGCCGGGAGGCUGAACCAGCCAAGUCGCGUGAGGGAAGACGGCCCUACGGGUUGUAAACCUCUUUUGUCAGGGAGCAAGGUUCAGGUCGGGACCUGCUGUGAGAGUACCUGAAGAAAAAGCAUCGGCUAACUCCGUGCCAGCAGCCGCGGUAAUACGGGGGAUGCGGGCGUUAUCCGGAUUUAUUGGGUUUAAAGGGUGCGCAGGGGGAGGAAAAAGUCAGCGGGAAAAUCGCGGGGCUCAACCCCGCAUCGCCGUUGAAACUGUGUGCCUUGAGUGCAGGAGGGGGAGGCGGAAUGCGUGGUGUAGCGGUGAAAUGCAUAGAUAUCACGAAGAACUCCGAUCGCGAAGGCAGCUUACCGGAGCGCAACUGACGCUCAUGCACGAAAGCGUGGGUAUCGAACAGGAUUAGAUACCCUAGUAGUC